Molecule: ribosomal RNA, 406 nt
Filed under: uncultured bacterium
Lineage: Bacteria
Description: partial 16S ribosomal RNA
Rfam family: Bacterial small subunit ribosomal RNA
Source: RNAcentral
AUUGAACGCUGGCGGCAGGCCUAACACAUGCAAGUCGAACGAGUGGCGGACGGGUGACCAAUGUCUGGGACACUGCCUGAUGGAGGGGGAUAACUACUGGAAACGGUAGCUACUACCGCAUAACAUCAGAUGUGCCCAGAUGGGAUUAGCUAGUGGGUGGGGUAACGACUCACCAAGGCGACGAUCCCUAGCUGGUCUGAGAGGAUGACCAGCCACACUGGAAAUGAGACACGGUCCAGACGCCUACGGGAGGCAGCAGGGGGGAAUAUUGCACAAUGGGCGCAAGCCUGAGGCAGCCAUGCCGCGUGUAUGAAGAAGGCCUUCGGGUUGUAAAGUACUUUCAGCGGGGAGGCGUUACCCGCAGAAGAAGCACCGGCUAACUCCGUGCCAGCAGCCGCGGUAAUAC